This 28-nucleotide non-coding RNA is filed under the name Homo sapiens (human). The record is from RNAcentral. Lineage: Eukaryota; Metazoa; Chordata; Mammalia; Primates; Hominidae.
CGCAUGGACAUUCAGCAUCUGUAAGGGG